CCUACGGGUGGCAGCAGUGGGGAAUCUUGGACAAUGGGGGGAACCCUGAUCCAGCGACGCCGCGUGAGUGAAGAAGGAUUUCGGUAUGUAAAGCUCUAUCAGCAGGGAAGAAAAUGACGGUACCUGACUAAGAAGCCCCGGCGAACUACGGGCCAGCAGCCACGGUAAUACGUAGGGGGCCAGCGUUAUCCGGAUUUACUGGGUGUAAAGGGAGCGUAGACGGUGGUGCAAGUCUGAUGUGAAAGUUCGGGGUCCAACCGCGGGACUGCAUUUGAAACUGGUGAACUGGAGUACAGGAGAGGUAAGCGGAAUUCCGAGUGUAGCGGUGAAGUGCGUAGAUAUUAGGAGGAACACCAGUGGCGAAGGCGGCUUACUGGACUGUAACUGACGUUGAGGCUCGAAAGCGUGGGGAGCAAACAGGAUUAGAUACCCUAGUAGUC
RNAcentral lists this ribosomal RNA (440 nucleotides) under uncultured bacterium. RNAcentral's name for it is "partial 16S ribosomal RNA". It matches the Rfam family "Bacterial small subunit ribosomal RNA", at positions 338 to 795 of the family's 1533-position model. The record is from RNAcentral.